AGGGGAAUAGCUCAAUUGGCAGAGCGUCGGUCUCCAAAACCGAAGGUUGUGGGUUCGAUUCCCUCUUCCCCUG
This 73-nucleotide transfer RNA is filed under the name Pigmentiphaga kullae. RNAcentral's name for it is "tRNA-Trp". It matches the Rfam family "tRNA". Rfam says of the family: Transfer RNA (tRNA) molecules are approximately 80 nucleotides in length. Their secondary structure includes four short double-helical elements and three loops (D, anti-codon, and T loops). Lineage: Bacteria; Pseudomonadati; Pseudomonadota; Betaproteobacteria; Burkholderiales; Alcaligenaceae. RNAcentral also lists the same sequence under 2 other names. The record is from RNAcentral.